Molecule: long non-coding RNA, 966 nt
Filed under: Citrus x clementina
Lineage: Eukaryota; Viridiplantae; Streptophyta; Magnoliopsida; Sapindales; Rutaceae
Description: Citrus clementina (C. clementina) long non-coding RNA (CCLE_LNC005725)
Source: RNAcentral
AAAUAUUUUAAUGAUGUAUAGGUAGUACUUUUUUAGUAUGAUUAUUAAUAUUCUACUAAAUUAACGAGAUGUAAUUAGGACACCUGGAGUAUUGAAAAUUAUUAAAUUUUAUAUAAAACACACUAGAUUAUAAAACAUAAAACUAAAUGCCUAAACAAUUAGUUACAAUAAUAUAUUUCUUAGGGUAAUUUGGUUAUUUUAUAUUAUAAGGAUAAAUUAGUUAAAUUAAACUUAUCUUAAAGCAACCUUAAAUUAUCAAAGAUUGUUAAAAGACAAAGUAAGAAAAAAGAUAUUAUAAGAAUGAUUUAAUUAAUUAAUUAUUCAAACUUAUUAUUAAUUUGUAAUUCUAUAAAAUAAUGUGAACUUAUUGUAAUUAUUUUAUGAAAGUGGGGUGGGUUUAUAAAAAUAGUGAGGUGGAAAUAUCCACACCCUAAAUUUCUUUCAUCUUUCUCUACACUAAGCACAACUCACCACGAAAAUAAGGCAGCGACAAAACAGAAUUUCGAUAGAACAACGACAUAAGGCAGCGACACUAAGCACAACUCAUGUGCCACUUAUGAGUUUCGCCCUCAAUUUGUAAAAGCUUCAUAAAUUAGUUUUUUCCAAUUAAAUAAGGCAGUGACAGAACAGGGCAAUUUGUUUCGUAUACUUUAUGCUAGGGCUUUCAAGCGACAAAGUGAACACAUCUUAAAUUUAUACUGGAAAUGAUCCCACCCAUCCAUUACGAUAGAGUUACAUUGACUUUGUCUUACGUUACCAAAAUUUCUGAAAAAUCAACAUAAAAAAAUAAUAUGAACUUUCAAUAAAUUAUUUAUGUGUUCAACUUCAAAUUCUUUGACUUAAUAGGGUAACGCCCGUGUUUCAAGCUCCCUUUUUAUUUCAAACUUUGUUUUCUCUCCUGCAUCUUCUGUUUUUUUUCUACUUUUUUGGUCAAAUAUCUCUUCUCAUUUAUUUCAAACAUGGCUG